Sinocyclocheilus anshuiensis is the source of this 1367-nucleotide long non-coding RNA. RefSeq lists it as uncharacterized. The record is from RefSeq and is a predicted model, not a curated record. The transcript has 3 exons. NCBI's taxonomy places the organism in Eukaryota, Metazoa, Chordata, Actinopteri, Cypriniformes, Cyprinidae.
UGUCUGAAGGAUCGCUCGGCUGCCCAUUCAGAACGCAGGGUGCGCACCGGAAGAUCGCUGCAGCAGCAGCAGCAGCAGCAGCACACGGGACCAAAAUGGCGUAGCGCGCAGUCCGCUGCUGCAGCAGCGCAGCGGGGCCAGGCUCACCGAACAUCCCAGAGCCUGGCCCGUCGUACUCCAACCGACGAGUAUGAUGGAGGUGGCUUUUAGUUUCAGUUCACUCGCUUCGAAACCUGCACGAGAUCAGCGGAGACGUGCCCUUCAUAUGUCAAAUCAAGAAGAGAAAGGAACAGUCCUGAAAGGAACUCAUGACCAGAAAAGAUCGUCAUGUCUUUGUUCUUCAAACUGCUCUCCAUCCCGAUAAGUUGACUUUCCUCCAGCGUUAUUUCAGGGAAGUGUUUGUUCAACAUACCAACUGUCACUGGUCUAUGAAAAUAUCAUCUCUGCACUUUGGAGACGACAACUGAAGUUGUUUUUAUCCAUGAAAGAACCAUAAACUCAUCAUGUGUCCAAAAAAGUAACACAAUUGUGCCACAGUAAAGAGCAUCAUCUGGUCAUAUUUGUUAUAAAUAAAUCAAGUGGAGUACUUAUAUGUUGCAGGUUGUGUUAAAGUGAAGUGAAAAAGGAAAUGGCGAAAGUGCACUUGCUUUGCAGGUAAAACAAAUGUACAUUUAAAAACGAAAUCAUGCAAGCAAGAUAAAGUAGCUUCAUCCAACAAUUUUAUUAUCUGCAGAUUAAGUGCCUAGACACAUCUCUUUUGAAAAGCUUCUGUCUCUUGCUUGUCUAUUUCCAUGGCUUAGCUUUAAACCUACAAGUAAAGCACUACUUGGUCAUUUAUUUAGUCUUAAAAUGGCUGAAAAUUUAAUUUCUGAGACAACAAACUGUAGACAGAUAGCUGUUCUCUUAAUUCAGAACUCAUAUUGGUGCUUUUGCAAAACCAUGAAUCAUGUUUUCUGUGUACUUGAGAAACCAAGACCGACAGUGUGGCACACUGACCUGAGCAUAAGCUUUAUAAAUUCCACAGUUAAACCUUUCUAGUGGGAGUGGGGUGCUAAUGAGAUGCAGGACAUAAUUAAUUAUAAUUAUUUUACUACCUCAGAACUUACCACAGCUCAGACCCACACUCCGAUCAACCGAUAUUCACAUGCUUUUCUCACGGUGAUGUAAAUAGAGUCAUUGUCUGUCAAAUGGUUUGGGAAUCAGUUGGAAGAGGAGUGAGCAUGUUUCUUUUCACUUUUUGUACAUUAUUAUAUUAAUAGGUUUUGGGAAUAUCACACAAAUCAUAUAGAGACCUUGAAGUUCACUGGUUUGACACUGGCGGCCAAAAGUUUGGAAUAAUUAAGUUUUGAAAGAAGUCUCUUCUGCUC